CUUNCGAGAUAGCCANGCANGUCUAGUACAUGCCGUAUUAAGGCGAAACCGCGAAUGGCUCAUUAAAUCAGUCAUGGUUCCUUGGAUCGUACCUUACUACUUGGAUAACUGUGGCAAUUCUAGAGCUAAUACAUGCAGCAGAGCUCCGACCUUCGGGGACGAGCGCUUUUAUUAGACCAAAACCAAUCGGACCUCGUGUCCGUCUCUUGUGGUGACUCUGUAUAACUUUGGGCUGAUCGCACGGGCCUGUCCCGGCGACGUAUCUUUCAAGUGUCUGCCUUAUCAACUUUCGAUGGUAGGUUACGCGCCUACCAUGGUCGUAACGGGUAACGGGGAAUCAGGGUUCGAUUCCGGAGAGGGAGCCUGAGAAACGGCUACCACAUCCAAGGAAGGCAGCAGGCGCGCAAAUUACCCACUCCCAGAACGGGGAGGUAGUGACGAAAAAUAACAAUACGGGACUCUUUUGAGACCCCGUAAUUGGAAUGAGUACACUCUAAAUCCUUUAACGAGGAUCCAUUGGAGGGUAAGUCUGGUGCCAGCAACCGCGGUAAUUCCAGCUCCAAUAGCGUAUAUUAAAGUUGUUGCGGUUAAAAAGCUCGUAGUUGGAUCUCAGUUCCAGACGGGUGGUCCUCCUACCGGUGGUUACUGCCUGUUCUGAACAGUCAGCCGGUUUCUCUUGAUGAUCUUCACCGGUUGUCUUGGGUGACGGGCAAGUUUACUUUUGAAAAAAUUAGAGUGCUCAAAGCAGGCGUGACGCCUGAAUAAUGGUGCAUGGAAUAAUGGAAUAGGACCUCGGUUCUAUUUUGUUGGUUUUCGGAACACGAGGUAAUGAUAAGAGGGGACAGACGGGGGCAUUCGUAUUGCGACGCUAGAGGUGAAAUUCUUGGACCGUCCCAAGACGACUACUGCGAGNUUUUUNNCCCAGAGAA
This 929-nucleotide ribosomal RNA is filed under the name Allagelena difficilis. Its description in RNAcentral is "SSU rRNA". It matches the Rfam family "Eukaryotic small subunit ribosomal RNA", at positions 35 to 966 of the family's 1831-position model. The record is from RNAcentral. Lineage: Eukaryota; Metazoa; Arthropoda; Arachnida; Araneae; Agelenidae.